Rhinopithecus bieti (black snub-nosed monkey) is the source of this 97-nucleotide ribosomal RNA. The record is from Ensembl. Lineage: Eukaryota; Metazoa; Chordata; Mammalia; Primates; Cercopithecidae.
AUCUACGGCCAUACCAUUCUGAUCCCUGAAGAUAAGCAGAGUCGGGCCUGGUCAGUACUUGAAUGGGUGACCACCUGGGAAUAUCAGGUAGGCGUUU